AGAACGAACGCUGGCGGCAGGCUUAACACAUGCAAGUCGAGCGCCUCGGCAACGGGGAGCGGCAGACGGGUGAGUAACGCGUGGGAACAUACCCUCCGGUUCGGAAUAACUCAGGGAAACUUGAGCUAAUACCGGAUACGGCAACCAAGAGAGAUUUUGGCGGCGAAAGAUUUAUCGCCGGAGGAUUGGCCCGCGUCCGAUUAGCUAGUUGGUGUGGUAAUGGCGCACCAAGGCGACGAUCGGUAGCUGGUCUGAGAGGAUGAUCAGCCACAUUGGGACUGAGACACGGCCCAAACUCCUACGGGAGGCAGCAGUGGGGAAUAUUGGACAAUGGGCGCAAGCCUGAUCCAGCCAUGCCGCGUGAGUGAUGAAGGCCUUAGGGUUGUAAAGCUCUUUCACCCACGACGAUAAUGACGGUAGUGGGAGAAGAAGCCCCGGCUAACUUCGUGCCAGCAGCCGC
This 460-nucleotide ribosomal RNA is filed under the name uncultured bacterium. RNAcentral describes it as "SSU rRNA". It matches the Rfam family "Bacterial small subunit ribosomal RNA", at positions 26 to 518 of the family's 1533-position model. The record is from RNAcentral.